This 75-nucleotide transfer RNA is filed under the name Pseudomonadota bacterium. RNAcentral describes it as "tRNA-Ala". It matches the Rfam family "tRNA". From Rfam's summary of the family: Transfer RNA (tRNA) molecules are approximately 80 nucleotides in length. Their secondary structure includes four short double-helical elements and three loops (D, anti-codon, and T loops). RNAcentral also lists the same sequence under 1 other name. Lineage: Bacteria; Pseudomonadati; Pseudomonadota. The record is from RNAcentral.
GGGGAUAUAGCUCAAUGGGAGAGCGCCGCGUUCGCAUCGCGGAGGUUGGGGGUUCGAGCCCCCCUAUCUCCACCA